This 3800-nucleotide long non-coding RNA is filed under the name Equus caballus (horse). RNAcentral's name for it is "lncRNA (ENSECAG00000047360.1)". Lineage: Eukaryota; Metazoa; Chordata; Mammalia; Perissodactyla; Equidae. The record is from RNAcentral.
UAUGUACCUGGCCCCAGGCUGAGUAUUUUGUAUCAAUCAUUUCUGAAUCCCAUCACAUUCUAAUAGGUGGUUACAGCAUUACUCACACUGCAAAGAUGGCAGAACUGAGUCACAGGUGUUUAUAUUGAUUAUUCAACAAGUGACAGAACUAAGGUUUGUCACUUGAACCGAUGGUCGCCUGACUCUAAACAUUCACUCUGGUCCUUUGUGGCUUGAAGAUGUCCCUUCCCUUGUGAGCAGCUCAUGCGUGGACCAGGAGAGCAGAUGAGCAGGCAUCCACAUACAAGUGGGCUGAUGAACGGAUGUCCAACCAGAGAUGUCCCUCUGUUUUGUCCCCAUACACAUGUCCUUCUCUCCCCAGGCCCGAAAGGGUGGAGCAGCCACUGGGGUUGACACUGUCUGCGUCCACCAUCCUGACUCUGUGGACCUCACGCUGGACAUGGAGUGGCUCUGCUGAGAGCUGAGCCACCAGCCCCAUGGUGUCGCCCGGCUUGCACAGGGACUGUCUCUGCGGUGAGGGAAAGGGGUCUCCUCCUGCACCCCAGGUGGAUGCUUCUCUUGGUGCUCUGAGCUCUGGUCAGAGCACACAUCCACGUCUGCUUCGAGAUUUCUCUCUCCUCACUCUUCUUUUCCUUGUGAGGUCCCUCUUCCCCACCGAGGGCUACGUCACAGGGAGAGAGAGAUGGAAAGUCAGAGAAAGGUUAUAGGAGGCACCGCUGACUGUUUGGAAGGGACACAACCUCCUGAUGGCGUCUAGUCUUCCACCAGCGGUCCAGCCCCUCCCUCCCUUCCUUAACCCUCUCAAAGCUCCCCCCUCACUCUUACCCACUCUCUGCAGUUACACCAGACCAGCCUUGACCUCCAUCCCCAGUGGUUCUGUGACUUCUAUACCCUCCUUGAGAACCCCAGAGGCUCCAGUCUCCUCCACCUCUACAGAAAGAGCCUUCCCUCUGUGUCUCCUUCCUUCCCACCUCCAUGCCUCCAUGCUUAGCCUUGAGAAGGACCAGAGAUCAUGCACAGGCAGCUCAAGGCUGGGGGACAGAGUGGGAGGAUGAACCUUUGGGUCUAUACCCUCACCACAGACCCGUCCAGCUCCACCCCUGGGUUUGGAGAGCUCUGUGACUCCAGGUUCUCAGUUCCAGACUGAAGCAGUGGCUCCUUUUAAUCCACCCCUUGCUUUCUGUUAAGGUGAGCUGGGUGACUGCUCCUGGAGGACACCUGACUGAUGGAGAGGUCGCCUUGGUUGUCCUUCCUCUGACCUCAGCAUCCAGCAGACCAGCCCCGGCUCAUUCAUGUGCUCACAGAGCUCCCAGAGGGCAAGCCCCAGAACACAAGCAUUUUUCCAGCCUUUGCUCGCAUCAGGUUUCUCUCAUCCCUUUGACCAAAGCAAGUCAUGGCCAAGCCGGAGUCAUGGGGUGGAGGUGGCCUCCCCACCUUGGUCUCAGGGGCUGCAACACCAUGUUGAAGGUGUCGUUGCAGGGAGCUGAGGAAUUUGUGGCCAUUUUUACAGCCCUUCCCAGGUGACCUGCCAGGACCAACUCGUGACCAUGUUGGCCUCAGGGGACCUGGAGGGGUCAGUCAGUGAGGCCAGAUCCAGUGGUGCCUUCUGGAACAAUUCCUGAAACUUCCCCUUCUCCCAGAAUGGAAUGGACACCGUCAAGGGCAAACCCAGGACUAAUUCCCAAGGGGCAGGGGAUAGAGGGGUGGGCAGAGAAAGCAGGCAUAAUAAUAACAACAGUACAGCAAAGCAAUGACAGCAGCCUUCACUGAUUGUCACAUAACAGGGACCUUGCUUCACACGUAUGACCUUCAGCCACUGCAGGUAGACACUGCUGUUUCUCCAUUUGAGAGAGGCACAGGCUGGUUCUUGGGGGCUCAGUGAUUUUCUGAGGCCGCACAGCCAGCAGAUGCACAGGACUCAACUCUAAGUCAUUCAAACCCUAGAGUCUGAGCUUUUGCUCUAAAAUAGCUGUGUGGCCUUGGGGAAGUGACUUAACCUCUCUGAAACUCAGUCUCAACCUGUGUCAGUUGGGGGUAAGUAACAGGCCUCCCCUCCAAGGGUUGUGUGUGGAACAUAUGAGAUCCUGGAUGGAAAGUGCUUAGCACAGAGCAUGGAGUAAGCACCUACCGAACGUCAGUUGUUAUUAUCACUACUAUUUUUAUUGUCAUUGUUGUUAUCAUUAUCACUAAUAGAACAAUAAAACAAAGUUUCCCAUUCUGGGAGGAGACGUUCUGAGCUCCUGCACCAGAUGUGAAUACAUUGGGCAACAGUUAUGUGCACCAAGACUCUCCCCAUGACCCCUAGCUCUAGCCCAGGCAGUGACUUGAGGUGUAACUGCUCUCCCACUCUCACUGCAGUCUCUGGCCCUGCCCUGUCCACCCACCCUGUGCAGCACAGAGGACAUGCAGCCUCUGGGCUCAGAGGAGUUAGACAAAACAGAGGAAGACUUGCAGCUCCCAGUGAGAGCCCAAAUCACCUCAUUUCUGCACCGCCCACUGACGCCCCCCACCCCCAUGCUCAGCUCCCCUCUCCCUGCCUACUCACUGAUGCCGCCCCGCUCACCUCAUUCCAGCCCUGCCCCUGUCCUGUUCAGUCCUACUGACCUCCUUCUCCUCCUCCGACAGCUUGGGCCCUUGUUCAAGAACACCAGUGUCAGCCCAUCUACCCCCGCUGCAGAGUGACCUCCUUAGGUCACACCAACUACUGAGCACUGCACAGGAAGCAUGAGUCUGAGCAAGAGUGUAGCAGGGAGGUCACAAGCAAGGAACUGGGGGUCAGAGAACCUGGGCCCAACCAGACUCUCCCUCCCUCCAGCCAUGUGACCCUGGGCAGGUGACCAUUUCUGUACUUUGGUUUCCUCCUUUGCUUGAUGUGGGUAAUUGUAGUACCCAGCUUGUAUUUAUCCACAGAAAAAUCUCUGCACAUAGGAAGUGAUCAUAAAGCACUUAUUCAUGUUGUAUAAUAAAUCCUUACAUGGUGUUUACUCCAUGCCCAGCACUGUGCUUAAGAACUCUACAAAAAUUAACUUGUUUAAGCCUCAGAACAACCUUUGAAGUAGGAAUCAUUAUUAUCUCAUCUCACAGAUGACUAAAUCGAGGUGCAGAGAGGUUGGUUAUAGCUCCCACGCCCAGCUCCCCUCUCCCUGCCUCCUAACUGAUGCCCACCCCACCCACCUCACUCCUACACUGCCCACUGACACCCUCCCCACCUCCCCCAUGCCCAGAUUGGUGUAGUUGGUUAUAAGGGCAGGAGAGGUAGAUGAUGAUAGACAGACAGACAGACAGAUGUUAGAUAAUUCUCCUGCUCUUCUAAGCAAGUAGACCAGUCUUCCGCACAGGAGUUUAGAAAGUCAACAAUCCUAGCACAUACAGAUAUAGAUUUGGAUACAGACAUAGAUAGGUCUAGAUUGAUCUGUCUGUAGAGAGAAGGAGAGGGAGAGAGAGAGACAGAGGCACAGAGAGACAAAGAGAUGGAGAUGGGAGCAGAGAGAAGGUGGAUGAAAAUAUCUGGAGUCAUCAGUUCUGCAUCGGCGCAGCAAGUGGGAGCCUUUCCUCCUGGGAAAGGACAGAGCCCCAGUGUUUCCACACAGCCCUCCCCUCCGGUCCCUGGGUGGAAAUGUUCAUCUCGACCCCCAAAUCAUUAAGCCUGUCCUACUCACUCGCUGCUGGAGCGUCUCCACUAACAAGUGACCCUCAGGCACAACAGGAGGAGGGCCCGGGCGCUGUGAUGCCCUGCCCUGGGUGGACGUCGGUCCCCCUGGCCUCCCUCUGAGCCUCGGCUCUGACUGCACCUGCCAUAG